Vicia villosa (hairy vetch) is the source of this 2113-nucleotide RNA transcript. It is a transcript of the gene named protein IQ-DOMAIN 19-like, with no coding region annotated. The transcript has 5 exons. Lineage: Eukaryota; Viridiplantae; Streptophyta; Magnoliopsida; Fabales; Fabaceae. The record is from RefSeq and is a predicted model, not a curated record.
CCUUACAUUUAGUGCAGAAAAACAAAAAAACGAUGUAACAGUGAGUUUAUGCUGUCAAAUAGUUUUAUAUAUAUUUUCAAUAAUGUGGCCAUCAACCACCAUAUAGUUAUGAAAGCAACUUCUCAAGAGAUCUAAAUAAAAUCAUGUUGCUACAAUUCAUGUUAGUUUGUUAGAUACUUGUGAAAGAGAUGGGAAAAAAAGGUAAAUGGCUUAAGAAUUUCUUGACAGGGAAAAGAGAGAAAGAUAAAGAUAAAGAGAAAUCUACAAUAAACCAGAAUUUUUCUAAUGGAACAGAAAAUCCAACUACUCCGAUUUCGAGUUCAAAUUCAAGUUCUACGAAGGAGAAAAAGAGAUGGAGUUUUAGAAGAUCGUCUGCAUCGGCUACGCCAACGGUUUCUAAGGAGUUGAGUAAAUCUGAAGUUAUUGCUUCAGUGACAGUGCCAACUGUUACGGUUACUGAUAUUCAGAAUGAGCAGAGAAAUCAUGCUAUGGCUGUGGCUGUUGCAACAGCGGCCGCAGCUGAUGCUGCAGUGGCUGCUGCACAGGCUGCAGCUGUUGUGAUCCGCUUGACUUCUGGUUCGAAUGAGAAUUCUAGAAGUAUUGAAGAGGCUGCUGCUGUUAAAAUUCAAUGCGUCUAUCGAUCUCACUUGGCGAGAAAGGCGUUGCGUGCUUUGAGAGGAUUAGUGAAGUUGCAGGCACUGAUAAGGGGUCACUUGGUGAGAAAACAGGCUAAGGCAACACUUAGAUGUAUGCAGGCUUUGGUGACAGCACAAGCUAGAGCUCGUGCUCAACGGAUCCGAAUGGUGUCCGAAGGAAAGCCUAAUCCAAACCAAUCAACUCCUAGAAAUGUCAUGGAAAAUGACUUGUUCAGGCAAAUAUACAAUGAAAUGGACAGAGGCUUAGAAGACAACAUCAAGAUUGUUGAAAUGGACUUUUGUGAAUCAAAAGGUAACUCUACAAGCAGAAGCAGCAGUGUAAAUCAUCAUGGACAAUAUUAUGAACAAUCUGAACAUAGAUAUUCCACAAAUGGUUCCUAUUCUUACUCAAAAGAAGAAAACUACAAAGUAUCACCAGCUCCAUCAGCUUUAACAGAAAUGAGUCCAAAAGCAUGCAGUGGCCAUUUCGAAGAUUGCUUCAGCACAGCACAAAGCAGCCCUCAUUACUAUUCUGCUAUAUCGAAAACAGACGAUUCAGCUUCAAACCAUCCUUUUUCAUUCCCUAGACCAUCUUAUGCAGAAUCUAUGUCCUAUGAUUACCCUUUGUAUCCAAGUUACAUGGCUAAUACAGAAUCAUCCAAGGCUAAAGCUAGAUCACACAGUGCACCAAAACAAAGGCCAGAUUCAUUUGAGAGGCAACCGAGCCGACGAAGAAUUUCGGUUGAGGGAAGAAAUGUACCUAGGCCACUGAGGAUGCAGAGGUCAUCUUCACAUGUUGGUGCCACUGCUCAGAAUUACCAAUAUCCAUUGUCAAUUAAGCUUGAUAGAUCGGCGGUCUCGCUCCAUGACAGCGAGUGUGGCUCGACAAGUACAAUGCUUACGAAUACUAAUUACUGCAGAUCUCUUGUUGCAUAUGAUCCAGAUGGAGAUAGGAACUGAGAGUGUGCCUUGUGUUACACUCAAUAGAAGACACUUUGCAAGAACAUUAACCAUGAAUUUCUUUUCGAGAGUUUCCACUACAAUGUGAGCUCUUGACAGGAUUUGUCCAUGAACUUCCUUACGAAACGAUUAGAGUUUUACAAUGGCUUUCCACACAAUCAAAUCAAACACAGGAGUUUUAACGAUGGAGACUUCCCAACUAAAAGAUAACAUCACUAGGCCAAACUCACGAACCAAACGAGAGCUUUAAUUAUGGAGGCCUCCCAACCAAACAAAGGUUUUACCAGGUUCUCCUCAACAACCAAACAAUAACUUUUCAGUUGGUUUAUCUCAAAACCAAAAUAAAUUUCUCACAAGAAAGAUGUUACUACGAUACCCUCACACCAGAAUCAAAACACCUCAGAGAUAAAAUAUUCACUCUCAAGAGCAUUAAGGAAAAAGUGGGGAGAGAGAGAGUGAGAGAGAGAGAGAGAGAGAGAAUAGUGAGAAAUGGUAUUUGAUAUAUGUUUUCUAGUGUA